GUAAAGGUUAAGAUGUGGCUCUGGAGCACAGUGGCCUGGCUUUGAUGUCAGGCUGAUGAAGCAGGCAUGGGGAAAGGCAUUUCAAUCCAUGUCUAAUGACGUCUCAUCCAGUCACAGAGGAAAAGGGAGUGGAUUCAAGGUCUGACAGAACAGAAAGUGAUUGGUAAGUGCCAGCUAUAUUUCAUUUCAAGGUUCAUUAGGUUCCCUUUCUGGUCUGUUUUACCAUCAAUACAGACACCUAUUUGGGGACCAUGAUCAUAUUUUUUUCAUUGUUCUUUUCCAGGUAUAGGCUGUUUGGAAGUGGUCUUAUCCCACCAGCUUCUUCUCCAAAAAAACAUAUAUAAAAUGCAUACGUAUUCCUCCCUGACUUGACCAAGUAGCCAAGGAGCUUAGAAAGCAGAACAUAAGGCUACUUGCAGGAGGAAAUAGGAGAAUUUGGGAUCCCGUCUAGUCAGGAACCUCAGCAGGUGGUCAAAAUGAGUUUCAUAAUGGUGGGAACAGAGGUAGGGCUUUGGCUGGAAAAAGGGUGAAACACCUCUUAAGAGGUGAGUAUCCACAUGAGAAGAAAGCAGAAAAGCAAGAUGCAAAGGAGAGAACAAUAAGUCAUAGGAAAGAGCCCAGCAUAGUUCAACCCACGCAGCUCCUGCUCUCUCUGUGACUGGAAAUAGAUCCAGCUAAAUCCCUCAGCACUCAAAUAAGUAGGCUUUGCUCUCACAUGGCCACUGAUGGGAGAGCGAGAAAGCAAAACAUGCAUCUCUGCAUUUACUAUUCUAUUACAAUUACUAUUAUAUUUUGCUAACUUUUUAAAUGCAAUGUUACUGAUUUUAUCGGCUAGAUAGACAAGAUACUACAUUUUGCUCUCAAACUUUGCAACUGCUUUUUAUUGGUGCCUCCAAAUAAUUCUCAGUAUACAUUUUCAUGAAUUUUUAAAAUCAUUUAUAUCAUUUCAAACUUAGCUAGAGCCCCUUAACCAUUAUUUUAGCAUGCUCAACCAUUUUGGCCUUAUUCCACAUUUAAAACGAUGAUUCGUGUUUCCCAAUAGAUUUCUGCUCAAAUUACAUCUCAACUCCUAACCUUUGUUUUACAUUACCUAAGAGCACAUAGAGUUACCUUCAGAGAGGGCAGAUGCAUAUUGCAUUGGAAAGCUAUGCUGGGGUUGAUCUGAGAGUCUGCCUUAAGGCCGAUUUAUGCCACUUAAAGUAAUCCAGUGCGCGCUUUGGUAAUUGAAAUCCUUCCAUUACCCUUACUCCAGCCCAUUUAAAUAUUUCUCUUUCAGAUGCAAUUACGUCAGGAGGUGAGCCAAAUGGUUUGGGAAAGAUGUGGGCAUUUCCAACAAGAAGGUUACUGGCUGCCCACCAAGAGCUGGUUGGUGUUCACAGUUCUGAGUCCAACUCUUUUCUCUGCUAGGUUCCCAUUUACAGAGCAUGACCAACCUUUCUCUCCAUUCCAAAGAACAUUCAAGAAUUGGGUUGACCAAUACACUUAGUGGAAACCACUCAGAAAAGUUAUCUUGCAUUUUUUCACUGCUUGAUUUCUUUCUAAAAAAAAAAUAAUUCAGCCUUGUUUCUUGUCAGCCCUAAACCAAAUCUUUUCACAUCACUGAGCAGCAUCAUAUAUUUUGAAAUAUCUUUAACCUCACAGAUGCAAUUUUACCUUAAGCAGAACUCCCCCCAUAAUCAAAAGUUGGAAAAGCAAGGUUUUGGAUAUUAGCAAAACAUGCAAAUUUCUAUGUUAAAGCAUCGAUAAUGCCCUCUUAAUGUACUUAGAUGGACAUUUAUUCUGUAUUUAUGUAUGAGAAUGCUGCCGAACCACAGCAUGCAAACUAAAUAAUUCAAUGGAAUGCAUAGAUAAAACUAAUGAUUCUAUAUUCUAACCACUGUUUUAUGAAAAGCUUUUCAUUUAACUCUCAAAACUAACUCAUAAAUCCACACUUGGAUAAUGCAAUGAAGUUAUAUUUAAGUCUAGAACUCUCCUUGCAUGCCAGGUUUCAAAUCUGCUUCUAAGUAAAUGUCCUUUUGGGGACUCAUUAUGACUAUUCCUGUCUUCCCUCAAAACAAACCUAUUAUGGAUGCUCAUUUCCUUUCUUCUCUUGACUUCUGGCUGUCAGAUUUACACCUCUUCCAAUCCAUGCUGCCUUGGCCUAUAGUAGCAAUAUCACAGCCAAGGACAGGGAGCUCAAGCCUGACAGAAGUUGCCAGAGUACCUAACAAAUAUUUUCUUAUGGGAUCCACUCUAGAAACAGCCCCAAAUCACGUCGCAGGUGAGGUUUAUAAUGGGCCACUGAAAGUCACUGAUUGUGAUCUAUGGUCAUAAUAGACCAACUUGAUUGAAAUAGGGAAGAGGGUUCAUAUGGCCAAGUCACACAGAAAAACAUACCCCAGUGCCUGCCAGGGAUCUGAGAUGAGAGAGAUGAGGUGAGGUUGCUCUUCGGCAAAGUAUAAAGGUUAUGCAACAAUCAGCCUCCUCGCCAUACACGAAAAUAUCCUUGCAUCAGUCGCUAUGGCUUCUGUGCUUCAGGAAAAUCUGGCUAGAAAUUCUACCAAAAAUGAAUUAAUUUCUUAAUGCAAAUCUCCUCAGUAGGUAUCACCUUUUUGAAACACAAAUCAUCCCCAGAGAGUACCAAAACCUGUCAGUUGCCCUCAAAUUUAUCAGAAAGAUGUGCUAUGAGAAACUAAAUGGCUGUUCUGUGCAUAAAUAAAAGAAAAUGGGCAUUGCAUUUGUUUAUCUGAUGAUUUUCAAACUUGCUGACAUCUAUAUUAAAACUAUUCUUUGGUCUUUAGAAAAACAGACACUUAAAUGUUCGUGGGCUUCACAUUCCUGAUAACUAUGACAUUUAAAAAUAAGAAAGAGCAUUUUUUUUUGCUAAGUUUAUAAUAGGUAACAAAAUACGUCCCUACUGCAUAUAGCUGUCCCCCGUUAUCCAUGGUUGGGGAUCCCAUAGUCUGAAAAUAUAAUAUGGAAAAUUAGAGAAAUAAACAAUUUAGAAGUUUUAAAUUGUUUGUUGUUCUGAGCAGCAGGAUGAAUCUUGUGCUGGCCCAGCCUGGAAUGUGACUCAUCCCUUUGUCCAGCGUCAUCACACUGUGUAUGCUGCCUGCCUACUAGUCACUUGGUAGACAUCCACUUAUCUCACCAACUAUUUCAGUUCUGUGUUCAAGUAACCUUUAUUUUACUGAAUAAUGACACCAAGUGCAAAUGUAAUGAUACUGGUGAUUUUGGUUAGGACAAAGAAAAGACACAAAGUAUUUGUUUUAAGUAUUAUCUCAUGUCAUCACAAGAAUACAACACAAGAAGAUGUUUUGAGAAAGAUAAAC
RNAcentral lists this long non-coding RNA (3311 nucleotides) under Marmota monax (woodchuck). The record is from RNAcentral. Lineage: Eukaryota; Metazoa; Chordata; Mammalia; Rodentia; Sciuridae.